AAUAGCUCAAAUUUGAAAUCUGGCGCCUUCGGCGUCCGAGUUGUAAUUUGAAGAAGGUAUCUUUGGUUUUGGCUCUUGUCUAUGUUCCUUGGAACAGGACGUCACAGAGGGUGAGAAUCCCGUGCGAUGAGAUGCCCAAUUCCAUGUAAAGUUCCUUCGACGAGUCGAGUUGUUUGGGAAUGCAGCUCUAAGUGGGUGGUAAAUUCCAUCUAAAGCUAAAUAUUGGCGAGAGACCGAUAGCGAACAAGUACUGUGAAGGAAAGAUGAAAAGAACUUUGAAAAGAGAGUGAAAAAGUACGUGAAAUUGUUGAAAGGGAAGGGCUUGAGGUCAGACUUGGUUUUACCAGGCCAGCAUCAGUUUGGGUGGCAGGAUAAGUGCGUAGGAAAGUGGCUCCACUUCGGUGGAGUGUUAUAGCCUGCGUCGAUACUGCCUGCCUAGACUGAGGACUGCGUCUUUGACUAGGAUGCUGGCGUAAUGAUCUUAAGCC
This 488-nucleotide ribosomal RNA is filed under the name Yamadazyma scolyti. RNAcentral's name for it is "eukaryotic LSU rRNA". It matches the Rfam family "Eukaryotic large subunit ribosomal RNA", at positions 103 to 646 of the family's 3401-position model. Lineage: Eukaryota; Fungi; Ascomycota; Pichiomycetes; Serinales; Debaryomycetaceae. The record is from RNAcentral.